This 73-nucleotide transfer RNA is filed under the name Canis lupus familiaris (dog). It matches the Rfam family "tRNA". Rfam says of the family: Transfer RNA (tRNA) molecules are approximately 80 nucleotides in length. Lineage: Eukaryota; Metazoa; Chordata; Mammalia; Carnivora; Canidae. The record is from Rfam by way of RNAcentral. RNAcentral also lists the same sequence under 1 other name.
GCCUGCCUGGCUCAGUGGGUGGAGCAUGCGGUUCUUGAUCUUGGGGUUGUAGGUUUGAGCCCUAUGGUGGGUG